Molecule: ribosomal RNA, 417 nt
Filed under: uncultured bacterium
Lineage: Bacteria
Description: bacterial SSU rRNA
Rfam family: Bacterial small subunit ribosomal RNA
Source: RNAcentral
UGGGGAAUCUUGCGCAAUGGGCGAAAGCCUGACGCAGCGACGCCGCGUGGGGGAUGAAGCUUUUCGGAGUGUAAACCCCUUUCGAUCCGGACGAAUGUCCCGCAAGGGAUUGACGGUACGGGUAGAAGAAGCCCCGGCUAACUACGUGCCAGCAGCCGCGGUAAGACGUAGGGGGCCAGCGUUGCUCGGAAUUACUGGGCGUAAAGGGUUCGUAGGCGGUGCGGCAAGUUGGGAGUGAAAUCUCUGGGCUUAACUCAGAGGCUGCUUCCAAAACUGCCGUGCUCGAGUGCGGGAGAGGCGAGUGGAAUUGCAGGUGUAGCGGUGAAAUGCGUAGAUAUCUGCAGGAACACCCGUGGCGAAGGCGGCUCGCUGGACCGCAACUGACGCUGAGGAACGAAAGCUAGGGGAGCAAACAGG